RNAcentral lists this ribosomal RNA (492 nucleotides) under uncultured bacterium. RNAcentral's name for it is "partial 16S ribosomal RNA". It matches the Rfam family "Bacterial small subunit ribosomal RNA", at positions 29 to 507 of the family's 1533-position model. The record is from RNAcentral.
AGUGAACGCUGGCGGUAGGCCUAACACAUGCAAGUCGAACGGCAGCACAGUAAGAGCUUGCCCUUACGGGUGGCGACUGGCGGACGGGUGAGGAAUACAUCGGAAUCUACUUUUUCGUGGGGGAUAACAUAGGGAAACUUACGCUAAUACCGCAUACGACCUACGGGUGAAAGCAGGGGAUCUUCGGACCUUGCGCGAUUGAAUGAGCCGAUGGCGGAUUAGCUAGUUGGCGGGGUAAAGGCCCACCAAGGCGACGAUCCGUAGCUGGUCUGAGAGGAUGAUCAGCCACACUGGAACUGAGACACGGUCCAGAAUCCUACGGGAGGCAGCAGUGGGGAAUAUUGGCCAAUGGGCGAAAGCCUGAUCGAGCAAUACCGCGUGGGUGAAGAAGGCCUUCGGGUUGUAAAGCCCUUUUGUUGGGAAAGAAAAGCAGCAGGUUAAUACCCCGCUGUUCUGACGGUACCCAAAGAAUAAGCACCGGCUAACUACGUG